This 75-nucleotide transfer RNA is filed under the name Gordonia paraffinivorans. RNAcentral's name for it is "tRNA-Phe(gaa)". The record is from RNAcentral. Lineage: Bacteria; Bacillati; Actinomycetota; Actinomycetes; Mycobacteriales; Gordoniaceae.
CGCCGUGUACAUCACGCGGUGGAGCUCGGCGUUGAAGUCGUCGACCGCCUCCACGUUCGACGCGUGCCCGGUGUC